GCAUAAUUUGGUACACUUUGUUACUCUUUCUGUUUGAGUAUAGAGAAGCAAGGAUUUUCAUACUGAACAAGUUCAAGGACAGUAGUGUGAGUAACAGUGAGAGGAGCGGGGAGAAUUUCGGAGGAAUCCAGGAGAUGAUCGGGAGAAACUGCGGCGGCACCGGCGCCGGCGAAGACGAAGUAGUUGAUGUGGUGGUUAGAACGCCUUCCAAUCCUCAGACCACGCAGAAUGUAAACAAGGUGGCUCCAGAUUCUCGGUCAUGUUUGAAACCAACGCCGGCAGGAGGCGCCGCGCAGGAAGACGGUAAAGAGGUCCAUCUGUUCAUUUGGCGAUGCGGGUGUUGCAG
Molecule: long non-coding RNA, 346 nt
Filed under: Vitis vinifera (wine grape)
Lineage: Eukaryota; Viridiplantae; Streptophyta; Magnoliopsida; Vitales; Vitaceae
Description: long non-coding RNA (VVIN_LNC001567)
Source: RNAcentral